Molecule: non-coding RNA, 183 nt
Filed under: Thermacetogenium phaeum
Lineage: Bacteria; Bacillati; Bacillota; Clostridia; Thermoanaerobacterales; Thermoanaerobacteraceae
Also listed under: 1 other name
Source: RNAcentral
GAAUAGGAUUACUUUUCAGGUGCCCGCAAGGGAGAAUAGGGAAUCAGGUGUAAAUCCUGAGCGGUCCCGCCACUGUAAACAGGGACGAACCCGAAGGAGCCACUCGGUUGGCCCACCAGCCGGGGAAGGUUCGGGGGAGAAUGAGCUGUGAGCCAGGAGACCUGCCUGAAAGGUUUAUGCCGC